GGAUUGUAGCUCAGUGGUGGAGCGCUUGCCUCGUAAGCAUUGGGCACUGGGUUCAAUCCUCAGCACCA
This 68-nucleotide transfer RNA is filed under the name Marmota monax (woodchuck). Its description in RNAcentral is "tRNA.Thr". The stretch from base 5 to 65 matches the Rfam family "tRNA", at positions 6 to 65 of the family's 71-position model. From Rfam's summary of the family: Transfer RNA (tRNA) molecules are approximately 80 nucleotides in length. The record is from RNAcentral. Lineage: Eukaryota; Metazoa; Chordata; Mammalia; Rodentia; Sciuridae.